AUGUCGGCCUUGGUUGUCCGGUCUGGGAAAAGGAAAAGUAGGACUGAAUGCAUAAGCUAUGGACUCAUGGAUGAGACAGAUAGGGUGAGAAGACAGUAUUUUGAGGACAAAAUAUGGAAGGAUGAUGCAACUUGUUUGAACAUGCUUAGGCUUGGGAGAGGACCUUUCUUCCGGUUUUGUCAACUUUUAAGGGACCGCAGGUUGCUUCAAGACACGAUUCAUAUGUCUGUUGAGCAGCAAGUUGGCACGUUCUUGCACACUGUUGGACACAACGUUAGGGAUGCGCCAGCUGGGGACAAUUUUCGUAUAACCGGUGAAGUUGUUAGUCGUUAUUUCAAAAAAGUCAUCCAUGCCAUUGGAGAGCUACGGCACGACCUUAUUAGAGAGCCCUCAUCGGCGACCCCAACCAAAAUAGAAGGGAAUCACCAAUGGGAUCCAUACUUUAAGGUAUGA
RNAcentral lists this ribosomal RNA (453 nucleotides) under Triticum aestivum (bread wheat). RNAcentral describes it as "partial small subunit ribosomal RNA". Lineage: Eukaryota; Viridiplantae; Streptophyta; Magnoliopsida; Poales; Poaceae. The record is from RNAcentral.